Aegilops tauschii subsp. strangulata is the source of this 2125-nucleotide long non-coding RNA. RefSeq lists it as uncharacterized. NCBI's taxonomy places the organism in Eukaryota, Viridiplantae, Streptophyta, Magnoliopsida, Poales, Poaceae. The record is from RefSeq and is a predicted model, not a curated record.
UCACCACUUUCUCGGUCUCUCCAGUGAAAGUAGAGGCGGCUGACUCUCUCCACUCCUCACUUUCUUCCUCCGCCAGCCGCCUCCUCUGUAGCACGGCGCCUCCUCUACAGCACGCCGCAUCCUCUGCCGCCACGACGUCGCCCGGCGCCCCCACCCACGCCACCACCACCACCACCACCACGGCCUCGCCCCGUCUCCUCCUAUCCCCAGCAGGGCCUCGCCCCGCCGGCCCUUAUCCCCAGCACGGCCUCGCCCCGCCCCCUCCUCUCACCACCGCGGCCUUGCCUCGCCGCCAACCCCGGGGAUCUUCCCUAGAUCGACUCUGCUGCCUUCAUCCUACUGCCCCAGAGGAGAUCGAGAUGCGGGAGCGGGCAUAUCGAAUUGGAUCGAGAUCUAGUGCGUCGACGUGCCUGCCGUAGUCAUCGCCUCCCGUGCUUGGCUCAAACAGUCGCUCUGGGAAGGAGUUCGCAGCUCGCGUACGUGCUCUACAGGAUCAUCCUGAUCUCUCUGUCGCCGCUGUUGUCACAAAGGCUCGCAAUCGACCAGACUAUUUGCAGAGGACACUUCAAUCUAUCCUCAAGUAUCACAAAGCGGUUGCUUCAUAGUUCCCACUAUUUAUAUCACAGGAUGGUACAAAUGGAGAAGUAAAAAAAUAAGGCCUGGAGUUAUACCCAAAUAACAUUUGUGCAGGUGUGGAAAGAAACACUUGCUCUAUGCUCAUUGCCUAGUGGAUUGAAGUGGCGGUGGUAACACAGUCAGUUGGGAGGACCCAAUGGCAGAGUCGAUAUUAUUGACAUUUUCCUUGUUAGAAACGGUAGUAUCUGGUGUUCUUAAUGAAUUUGGACCAUGAAGUGGAGUCUGAUCACUCAUUAUCACAUCAACAGGUAUGCCUGCAUCAUAAUUGUAUGUACAAUAUCAGCUGUUGACACACAAACGCCGGUAUUAUGGUUGGAUGUAGGAGAACACAUGACCUUUGGCAGCUGGUGUGUGUCGUUGCUGGGUGAUAGCAGACUGCGCACUGGGCCUCUCCGCAGUGUCAAAACAUGUCCAAAAGAACACUUAAUUAACAUGAUUUUACAUGUGAUUGAUGAAUUUGUGAUAAAAAACAGAGAAAAUGGAGUAACCAGGCGACAUGGCCCUGUGUGGCUUAGAUGGAGUGUUGAUUCCAUUUAGAAUAGCAGCCGUAGCUUUCUUACGAUCCCUUGCCUCCUGUCUUUUCUUUAAUAUUGUAUCCCUGUUUAGUGCAUACCUCUCCCUUUCCCUCUGUCUCUUCAGCUCUUUUGGAUUUGUUUUUUGACCUGUGAGACAAUGACAUAUUCUGGAUUUACAAGAUCUAAGUAGGUAAGAGUAGGUGAUAUAUGUAUUUACCUGAACUGUUGUUGUUGUUCGUCAAGUCCUGAAAGGGAGUACGUACCCCACUACGUUGAGAGGAUGCCAUAUUGUCUUCUCAAUGGUUCUUUUUGUGAAACACUUAUUCAACCCUUCGUCAACUCAGUUUGUUCAUGAUGUACUGUAAGUAUCAAAUUUCACAGUGCAAAUUACAGACUGUCAGAUUCAAAGAGCAAUUUCCUUUGUCUUUUGUCAGAUCAUAAGACGUGCAGUAUAAAUGGAUCUAACCUGUGGCACUGGCAGGUCGAGAUGCUGCUGCCCACACGGGGUGAUGACACCAGAGGUAGGGCAGCGCGCCGGGUCGAGGACGUCGCGGACAGGGCGAGGGCGGCGUGGCGAGGAGAGGUAGGGAAGCAAGGCGGGUCGAGGAUGUCGCGGACACCAGGGGCGAGGGCGGCUGGCCGAGGCAAGGUUCGUGGCGUGAUGGCAGCGUUGAUGGUGGAGGUCGUGGCGUGGUGGCGGCUUUGAUCAUGGAGGUUCUGUUUAAUUCCCCGGGGGUGUCAUCGCUGGGCUGUCAAAUCCUGAAGGGAGGAGUCUGCCGGCAGAACAUUUGUUUUGAACCGUAGAUCUGUUUGUAGUACGGUGGAUGUAACAUGGACCGUUGGAUGCAACCAUGUGGGUUUGAUCGGACGUUGUGGGUUAUCCUGUGUGCACUUUCUUGGGUGCACGUAGGGGAAGUCACGUUUGGUCUUUUAGUAGUAGUAUAGAUAUAGAAGAACGGAACCGAGAUUUGAGA